ACCUAGAUGGCUCAGUUGGAGGAGCAUGAGACUCUUGAUUUCAGGGUCGUGAGUUCGAGCCCCAUGCUGGGUG
This 73-nucleotide transfer RNA is filed under the name Canis lupus familiaris (dog). It matches the Rfam family "tRNA". Rfam says of the family: Transfer RNA (tRNA) molecules are approximately 80 nucleotides in length. Their secondary structure includes four short double-helical elements and three loops (D, anti-codon, and T loops). The record is from Rfam by way of RNAcentral. RNAcentral also lists the same sequence under 1 other name. Lineage: Eukaryota; Metazoa; Chordata; Mammalia; Carnivora; Canidae.